GUGUGUGUGUGUUUCCAUAUACUAAAAUUGGAACGAUACAGAGAAGAUUAGCAUGGCACCUGCGCAAGGAUGACACACACACACACACACACACACACACACAUAUAU
Sorex fumeus (smoky shrew) is the source of this 108-nucleotide small nuclear RNA. The record is from RefSeq and is a predicted model, not a curated record. Lineage: Eukaryota; Metazoa; Chordata; Mammalia; Eulipotyphla; Soricidae.